This 253-nucleotide ribosomal RNA is filed under the name uncultured bacterium. RNAcentral's name for it is "partial 16S ribosomal RNA". It matches the Rfam family "Bacterial small subunit ribosomal RNA", at positions 524 to 776 of the family's 1533-position model. The record is from RNAcentral.
UACGUAGGGUGCAAGCGUUGUCCGGAAUUAUUGAGCGUAAAGAGCUCAUAGGCGGUCUGUCGCGUCGGAUGUGAAAACCCAGGGCUCAACCCUGGGCCUGCAUUCGAUACGGGCAGACUAGAGUUCGGUAGGGGAGACUGGAAUUCCUGGUGUAGCGGUGAAAUGCGCAGAUAUCAGGAGGAACACCGGUGGCGAAGGCGGGUCUCUGGGCAGUAACUGACGCUGAGGAGCGAAAGCGUGGGGAGCGAACAGG